GACGAACGCUGGCGGCGUGCCUAAUACAUGCAAGUCGAACGCUGAAGAGAGGAGCUUGCUCUUCUUGGAUGAGUUGCGAACGGGUGAGUAACGCGUAGGUAACCUGCCUUGUAGCGGGGGAUAACUAUUGGAAACGAUAGCUAAUACCGCAUAACAAUGGAUGACACAUGUCAUUUAUUUGAAAGGGGCAAUUGCUCCACUACAAGAUGGACCUGCGUUGUAUUAGCUAGUAGGUGAGGUAAUGGCUCACCUAGGCGACGAUACAUAGCCGACCUGAGAGGGUGAUCGGCCACACUGGAACUGAGACACGGUCCAGACUCCUACGGGAGGCAGCAGUGGGGAAUAUUGGACAAUGGGCGCAAGCCUGAUCCAGCCAUACCGCGUGGGUGAAGAAGGCCUUCGGGUUGUAAAGCCCUUUUGUUGGGAAAGAAAAGCAGCAGGUUAAUACCCCGCUGUUCUGACGGUACCCAAAGAAUAAGCACCGGCUAACUUCGUG
RNAcentral lists this ribosomal RNA (496 nucleotides) under uncultured bacterium. RNAcentral's name for it is "partial 16S ribosomal RNA". It matches the Rfam family "Bacterial small subunit ribosomal RNA", at positions 28 to 507 of the family's 1533-position model. The record is from RNAcentral.